RNAcentral lists this transfer-messenger RNA (380 nucleotides) under Rhizorhabdus sp. The stretch from base 1 to 341 matches the Rfam family "Alphaproteobacteria transfer-messenger RNA". Rfam says of the family: Bacterial tmRNA, also known as 10Sa RNA or SsrA, is named for its dual tRNA and mRNA-like properties. Lineage: Bacteria; Pseudomonadati; Pseudomonadota; Alphaproteobacteria; Sphingomonadales; Rhizorhabdaceae. The record is from RNAcentral.
CCCCUUCAAAUCCGCGAACCGUGCGCCUAUAUCGGUUGUGCCGGGUUCGCCCGGCUAUGGUGAUAAAUGAUGUCGCAUAAUAGAUGCAGCGGACCCGGGGGCGGUACCCGGCGGCUCCACCAGAAGGCCCGGAAACGGGGUUCCUGACGGGGCCGAACUAGGAUCGACGUGUGUUCAAAGGCGAUGUUUUUGCCCGGCCUGAAUGAGCCGUAAAACCGUUCAAACUCACAAGUGCUAACGAUAACGAAGCACUCGCGAUCGCCGCGUAACCUAGUCCUCACGGACGACGUUACUAAGGCUUAGCGCGGUUCGGUCCGCACCGGGCAACAGAAGCGGAAUCCAGCGGUUCGGGAGGCACCGGGCAACAGAAGCCUCCCACU